GACGAACGCUGGCGGCGUGCUUAACACAUGCAAGUCGAACGGUGAAGGGAUCAGCUUGCUGGUUCUGGAUGAGUGGCGAACGGGUGAGUAACACGUGAGUAACCUGCCCCCUUCUUCUGGAUAACCGCAUGAAAGUGUGGCUAAUACGGGAUAUUCUGCGCCUGCUGCAUGGUGGGUGUGGGAAAGAUAUUGUUUCGGUGGGGGAUGGGCUCGCGGCCUAUCAGCUUGUUGGUGGGGUGAUGGCCUACCAAGGCGGUGACGGGUAGCCGGCCUGAGGGGGGGGGCGUUCCCAGUGGGGCUGCGCCCCGGCCGCGUGCCGUGGGGGGGGCGGCGGGGGGGUUGAUUCAAAAGGGGGCCCCGGCCGGGUCCCGCCCCCCCGGGGGGGGGGGGGCUGCUUCCGGGUUGUGACCUUUUUGCGGAGGGGAAGCAGCCCUGUCCUUUGUGGGUGGGUUGACGGUAGCUUGAAAAGAAGCGCCGCCUACCUCCGUC
RNAcentral lists this ribosomal RNA (489 nucleotides) under uncultured bacterium. RNAcentral describes it as "partial 16S ribosomal RNA". It matches the Rfam family "Bacterial small subunit ribosomal RNA", at positions 28 to 507 of the family's 1533-position model. The record is from RNAcentral.